This 46-nucleotide non-coding RNA is filed under the name Schistosoma haematobium. The record is from RNAcentral. Lineage: Eukaryota; Metazoa; Platyhelminthes; Trematoda; Strigeidida; Schistosomatidae.
GCACUGCUAAAGAGUCCCACAACAGGACGAAACGACCGUCCAGUGA